This is an RNA transcript of Dendrobium catenatum, 959 nucleotides long. It is a transcript of the gene named caltractin, with no coding region annotated. The transcript is spliced from 8 exons. The record is from RefSeq and is a predicted model, not a curated record. NCBI's taxonomy places the organism in Eukaryota, Viridiplantae, Streptophyta, Magnoliopsida, Asparagales, Orchidaceae.
UUCAACGUUAGUCGGAAUUAUUUCGGAACCGGCCUGAAACACUUUGACUAGAGUCCGCAGGAAGAUACGGGGAAGAUAAAAAGAGCAGCCUUCUUCGCCGAAGUUUACUCCAUUAUAUCCGGAGCUCCAAGAGAUCAACGAGAUCCCUACCGAUUCUAAUAAAUGGCAACUAGCAACUCAACGGUGCCAACAUCUAGAAGGGAGAAACCUAAAGGUCGUCAUCAUGGAGUAACUGCACAAAAGAAGCAAGAGAUCAAGGAAGCCUUUGAUCUGUUUGAUACUGAUGGUUCUGGCACUAUUGAUGCCAAAGAGCUGAAUGUUGCCAUGAGGGCAUUGGGAUUUGAAAUGACGGAGGAGCAAAUCAAUAAUAUGAUUGCUGAUGUUGACAAAGAUGGUAGUGGUGCCAUUGAUUUUGAUGAAUUUAUGCACAUGAUGACAACAAAAAUAGGAGAAAGGGACGCUAAAGAGGAGCUUAUGAAAGCAUUCCGCAUUAUUGACCAGGACAAUAAUGGGAAAAUUUCUGAUGUAGACAUCUCAAAAAUUUCUAAAGAGUUGGGCGAAAGCUUCACUCUUACUGAGAUAAGGGAAAUGAUAGAUGAAGCCGAUCGUAAUGGUGGUGACAGCAUAAACCAUCAGUGUUGGUCGUAGCAACUGACAACUGGCCAUGGCAAUGGCGACUGCUAGUGGCAGUGAACUGCUGUGGUAGCAACAACUAGUGGUGACAACAAUAAAAGAUGACUAGUUGAGGUGAUGGUGAGGUUGAUGCAGAUGAAUUUAUUUGGAUGAUGAAAAGAACAAAUUAUGGGCAUUAACUUAUGUAAUUAUUGAAAUUAUAUACCUUGUAAUAAUGCUAUGAUAUCAUUAUCGCCUCUCUGAAUAUUAUAAAUUAGGCAUUUCCCCUAUUGUAUGUAUAAUUAACUAACUGGUUCUUUAUUGAUAGCUUGAGUUGCUUCAGAUAA